RNAcentral lists this ribosomal RNA (497 nucleotides) under uncultured bacterium. RNAcentral's name for it is "partial 16S ribosomal RNA". It matches the Rfam family "Bacterial small subunit ribosomal RNA", at positions 28 to 507 of the family's 1533-position model. The record is from RNAcentral.
GACGAACGCUGGCGGCGUGCCUAAUACAUGCAAGUAGAACGCUGAAGAGAGGAGCUUGCUCUUCUUGGAUGAGUUGCGAACGGGUGAGUAACGCGUAGGUAACCUGCCUUGUAGCGGGGGAUAACUAUUGGAAACGAUAGCUAAUACCGCAUAACAAUGGAUGACACAUGUCAUUUAUUUGAAAGGGGCAAUUGCUCCACUACAAGAUGGACCUGCGUUGUAUUAGCUAGUAGGUGAGGUAACGGCUCACCUAGGCGACGAUACAUAGCCGACCUGAGAGGGUGAUCGGCCACACUGGGACUGAGACACGGCCCAGACUCCUACGGGGGGCAGCAGUAGGGAAUCUUCGGCAAUGGGGGCAACCCUGACCGAGCAACGCCGCGUGAGUGAAGAAGGUUUUCGGAUCGUAAAGCUCUGUUGUAAGUCAAGAACGAGUGUGAGAGUGGAAAGUUCACACUGUGACGGUAGCUUACCAGAAAGGGAUGGCUAACUACGUG